UGGGGAAUAUUGCACAAUGGGCGCAAGCCUGAUGCAGCCAUGCCGCGUGUGUGAAGAAGGCCUUCGGGUUGUAAAGCACUUUCAGCGAGGAGGAAGGUGGUGAACUUAAUACGUUCAUCAAUUGACGUUACUCGCAGAAGAAGCACCGGCUAACUCCGUGCCAGCAGCCGCGGUAAUACGGAGGGUGCAAGCGUUAAUCGGAAUUACUGGGCGUAAAGCGCACGCAGGCGGUUUGUUAAGUCAGAUGUGAAAUCCCCGGGCUCAACCUGGGAACUGCAUUUGAAACUGGCAAGCUAGAGUCUCGUAGAGGGGGGUAGAAUUCCAGGUGUAGCGGUGAAAUGCGUAGAGAUCUGGAGGAAUACCGGUGGCGAAGGCGGCCCCCUGGACGAAGACUGACGCUCAGGUGCGAAAGCGUGGGGAGCAAACAGAUUAGAUACCCUGGUAGUCCACGCUGUAAACGAUGUCGAUUUUGGAGGUUGUGCCCUUGAGGCGUGGCUUCCGGAGCUAACGCGUUAAAUCGACCGCCUGGGGAGUACGGCCGCAAGGUUAAAACUU
This 555-nucleotide ribosomal RNA is filed under the name uncultured bacterium. RNAcentral's name for it is "partial 16S ribosomal RNA". It matches the Rfam family "Bacterial small subunit ribosomal RNA", at positions 355 to 902 of the family's 1533-position model. The record is from RNAcentral.